Molecule: ribosomal RNA, 460 nt
Filed under: uncultured bacterium
Lineage: Bacteria
Description: partial 16S ribosomal RNA
Rfam family: Bacterial small subunit ribosomal RNA
Source: RNAcentral
CCUACGGGAGGCAGCAGUGAGGAAUAUUGGUCAAUGGCCGUAAGCCUGAACCAGCGAAGUCGCGUGAAGGAAGAAGGAUCUAUGGUUUGUAAACUUCUUUUGUAGGGGAAUAAAGGUAUCCACGUGUGGAUCUUUGCAUGUACCCUAUGAAUAAGCAUCGGCUAACUCCGUGCCAGCAGCCGCGGUAAUACGGAGGAUUCGAGCGUUAUCCGGAUUUAUUGGGUUUAAAGGGUGCGUAGGGUGUAUUGUAAGUCCGCGGUGAAAGUUUGUGGCUCAACCAUAAAAUUGCCGUUGAAACUGGAAGACUGGAGUGUGUUUGAGGUAGGCGGAAUGCGUGGUGUAGCGGUGAAAUGCAUAGAUAUCACGCAGAACACCGAUUGCGAAGGCAGCUUACUAAGCCAUAACUGACGCUGAAGCACGAAAGCGUGGGGAGCAAACAGGAUUAGAUACCCCGGUAGUC